AUGUAUUACAAUGUGUUUAGCUUGCCAACGCUUUUGUGCAAAAUAAGUGGAAAACUUACUAAGAGCUUGGGUCGUCCUGCGCCCGUCACCCAUGAGAAACUUGGUGGGCCUCACAACAGUAGCACGGCCGCAUGUGUAGCCCGGGCCUGGGGUCUUAAGAGUGAAGUUUUUGGGCACCUUAACCGUCUUAUUAGUAGUCCCAGCAAGACCUACACUGAUCUGGAAGGAGGAGGCAGCAUUUGCCGGGUCCUGGUUAAACGUACUUAUAACCCCUCCCUUGCAGCAGUUGGCGACUUGGUCUUUGUACGGCGUUCCCGGGAGAAGGUCGAUGACGGUCGGAUCUCUCUUGCAGCAAUGGGGAGGGUUGGUCUUGAACUUGGAGCAGUCGCCCUGCUCGGUGGUCUGGGCCCCCACCAUGGACCAGAUGACCUCCUUCUUGGCCCACGUCCACCCCAGCUGCCACCCGGGCGCCGAUAUGUGCCGGAACUGCUGGUAGUUGUAUAUUGUGACCAUUGCCUGCACAUGACAAGUUUGGAAGAAGGAAAUCAUGAUACAGAUGAGAGCUGGGCCCAAGGACGUUUCAACCAACUAAUUGGCUUAAGAAUCAGCUUGAGGCUCAAGAUAGUAGCAGGACCUAUUGUACACUGCGGCUUAAGUUCUUUCAAUUUAUGA
This 672-nucleotide ribosomal RNA is filed under the name Triticum aestivum (bread wheat). RNAcentral describes it as "partial small subunit ribosomal RNA". The record is from RNAcentral. Lineage: Eukaryota; Viridiplantae; Streptophyta; Magnoliopsida; Poales; Poaceae.